This 346-nucleotide unclassified non-coding RNA is filed under the name soil metagenome. RNAcentral describes it as "partial contains 5.8S ribosomal RNA, internal transcribed spacer 2, and large subunit ribosomal RNA". The stretch from base 1 to 120 matches the Rfam family "5.8S ribosomal RNA", at positions 35 to 154 of the family's 154-position model. The record is from RNAcentral.
GAUGAAGAACGCAGCGAAAUGCGAUAAGUAGUGUGAAUUGCAGAAUUCAGUGAAUCAUCGAGUCUUUGAACGCACAUUGCGCCCCCUGGUAUUCCGGGGGGCAUGCCUGUCCGAGCGUCAUUGCUGCCCUCAAGCACGGCUUGUGUGUUGGGCCCCGUCCUCCGAUCCCGGGGGACGGGCCCGAAAGGCAGCGGCGGCACCGCGUCCGGUCCUCGAGCGUAUGGGGCUUUGUCACCCGCUCUGUAGGCCCGGCCGGCGCUUGCCGAUCAACCCAAAUUUUUAUCCAGGUUGACCUCGGAUCAGGUAGGGAUACCCGCUGAACUUAAGCAUAUCAAUAAGCGGACGA